RNAcentral lists this signal recognition particle RNA (97 nucleotides) under Granulosicoccus antarcticus IMCC3135. RNAcentral's name for it is "Bacterial small signal recognition particle RNA". It matches the Rfam family "Bacterial small signal recognition particle RNA". Rfam says of the family: The signal recognition particle (SRP) is a universally conserved ribonucleoprotein involved in the co-translational targeting of proteins to membranes. Archaeal SRP consists of a 7S RNA and homologues of the eukaryotic SRP19 and SRP54 proteins. The record is from Rfam by way of RNAcentral. Lineage: Bacteria; Pseudomonadati; Pseudomonadota; Gammaproteobacteria; Chromatiales; Granulosicoccaceae.
UAUCGGCACUCUCGCGACGAUAAACUGUUAACCCCGUCAGGCCCGGAAGGGAGCAGCGGCAGCAGUGGAUUCGGGCGCCGGGAUGCGGCUGGUACGG